GACGAACGCUGGCGGCGUGCUUAACACAUGCAAGUCGAACGGUGAAGCGCCUUCCUUUUUGGUGGGUGUGGAUGAGUGGCGAACGGGUGAGUAACACGUGAGUAACCUGCCCCCUUCUUCUGGAUAACCGCAUGAAAGUGUGGCUAAUACGGGAUAUUCUGGGUCUGUCGCAUGAUGGGUCUGGGAAAGAUAUUGUUUCGGUGGGGGAUGGGCUCGCGGCCUAUCAGCUUGUUGGUGGGGUGAUGGCCUACCAAGGCGGUGACGGGUAGCCGGCCUGGGAGGGUGGACGGUCACACUGGGACUGAGACACGGCCAAGACUCCUACGGGAGGCAGCAGUGGGGAAUAUUGCACAAUGGGCGCAAGCCUGAUGCAGCGACGCCGCGUGAGGGAUGGAGGCCUUCGGGUUGUGAACCUCUUUCGCCAGUGAAGCAGGCCUGCCUCGUUUGUGGGUGGGUUGACGGUAGCUGGAUAAGAAGCGCCGGCUAACUACGUG
RNAcentral lists this ribosomal RNA (494 nucleotides) under uncultured bacterium. RNAcentral describes it as "partial 16S ribosomal RNA". It matches the Rfam family "Bacterial small subunit ribosomal RNA", at positions 28 to 507 of the family's 1533-position model. The record is from RNAcentral.